This 1045-nucleotide long non-coding RNA is filed under the name Sparus aurata (gilthead seabream). RNAcentral describes it as "lncRNA (ENSSAUG00010014917.1)". The record is from RNAcentral. Lineage: Eukaryota; Metazoa; Chordata; Actinopteri; Spariformes; Sparidae.
CAGUCACCAGUGGGUGGCAGAUUCAGAUUCAAACAACACGGACAAGUGAGUGCGGAGUGUAGACUGGUAGCUGGAGCGGUGCCAGUUUACCUUGAGCAAUACAUUGAACCCCGAACUUCUCAAACGAUUAAUUAUCUGUUUGUGCAUGUCUGCAUAUUUCAGGGCUGUGUGUGUGAAAAAAAACCCACAACGAAGUAAAGCACUCUUGUUUCAUUUAAGAGGGAUCAACAAAAGCUUUAGUCUUCUGAUGUCUUCUUCUUAUCAUUAUUGAAUACAUAUUAAAAUACAUUUCCAACAGUUUGGGAGACUUGCUAGACUCACACACAGUCCGCAUUGAUCUUCUCAUCUGUCUCGGUUAGACUCGACCCCCUUUUUGGAGUGUGUAGUACGACUGUGACCUGUUGCUGUAAAAAGUCUGUAGGUAUGUACACACUGUGGCAAAGUCAUUACAGUCAAGCUCGCACAGUCUGAAGGAGAGAAAGGACUGAUAUACUCCUACAGCGAAGCUCUGGUUGAGGGCCGAUCGAAGGCGGCUGCAGAGACUCAGCUCCGAGGAGACGUUUACCUUAGUCUUACACCAAUCCUAUCUGGAACCAAGCUGGUGGCACAGACGUGAUCUCUCUUCUUCACCUGGUGAACGUGAACUUGAAGCUAUGGCUAAUAAGGAUUGUGAUCAAGAUUUCUGUGAGGAGCUGAAGAAGUUCUUUGACAGCCGUGGCGGGAGCGUAAAAGUGCGGGAGCUCAAGGAGUGGUUGGCCGAAAAUUGCAAAGGCCGUAAGAACGAAGGUGGAAUCAGAGGGCUCUUUCCGUGCAUGGAGCAAAAAGCCGAUGAAGAUAUCACGCUUGAGGAGUUUAAGAAAUGCUGGGUCGAGAAGAAAAACAAGGGAUGUUCCUAAACAGAAUGUUUACUACAAAACCCUCAAGAUUGAAAAAUAUGUAAUAAAAUAAAAUAAUCACAAUAAUAGAGUAUACACUGACAGCAGAAGCCACAUUGGUUUUGAAAAAUGUGUCCAUUCAAUAUUGGCUUAGAAAAAAUAAAAACCAU